UACGUAGGGGGCAAGCGUUAUCCGGAAUUACUGGGUGUAAAGGGUGAGUAGGCGGCAUGGUAAGCCAGAUGUGAAAGCCUUGGGCUUAACCCGAGGAUUGCAUUUGGAACUAUCAAGCUAGAGUACAGGAGAGGAAAGCGGAAUUCCUAGUGUAGCGGUAAAAUGCGUAGAUAUUAGGAAGAACACCAGUGGCGAAGGCGGCUUUCUGGACUGAAACUGACGCUGAGGCACGAAAGCGUGGGGAGCGAACAGG
This 253-nucleotide ribosomal RNA is filed under the name uncultured bacterium. Its description in RNAcentral is "partial 16S ribosomal RNA". It matches the Rfam family "Bacterial small subunit ribosomal RNA", at positions 524 to 776 of the family's 1533-position model. The record is from RNAcentral.